This 468-nucleotide ribosomal RNA is filed under the name uncultured bacterium. Its description in RNAcentral is "partial 16S ribosomal RNA". It matches the Rfam family "Bacterial small subunit ribosomal RNA", at positions 28 to 507 of the family's 1533-position model. The record is from RNAcentral.
GACGAACGCUGGCGGCGUGCUUAACACAUGCAAGUCGAACGGAGAGGCCCUUCCUUUUUUGGGUGCUGUGGUUGCGAGCGGGUGAGUAACGCGAGAGUAACCUGCCCUGGACUCUUGUAUAACUUCAGGAAACGGGGGCUUAUACCGGAUAGGAGCUCCUGCGUCAUUGUGGUGGUGGGAAAGGUUCGGCGGUUGGUGAGGGACUCGCGGCGUAUCAGCUUGUUGGUGGGGUAGUGGCUGAGCAAGGCUUUGACGGGUAGCCGGCCUGAGAGGGUGACCGGCCACAUUGGGACUGAGAUACGGCCCAGACUCCUACGGGAGGCAGAAGUGGGGAAUAUUGCACAAGGGGCGGAAGCCUGAUGCAGCAACGCCGCGUGCGGGAUGAAGGCCUUCGGGUUGUAAACCGAUUUCGCCUGUGACGAAGCGUGAGUGAAGGUAAUGGGUAAAGGAGGACCGGCUAAAUAAGUG